RNAcentral lists this ribosomal RNA (445 nucleotides) under uncultured bacterium. RNAcentral describes it as "bacterial SSU rRNA". It matches the Rfam family "Bacterial small subunit ribosomal RNA", at positions 338 to 795 of the family's 1533-position model. The record is from RNAcentral.
CCUACGGGAUGCACCAGUGGGGAAUAUUGCACAAUGGGCGAAAGCCCGAUGCAGCGACGCCGCGUGAGGGAUGACGGCCUUCGGGUUGUAAACCUCUUUCAGCAGGGAAGAAGCGAAAGUGACGGUACCUGCAGAAGAAGCGCCGGCUAACUACGUGCCAGCAGCCGCGGUAAUACGUAGGGCGCAAGCGUUGUCCGGAAUUAUUGGGCGUAAAGAGCUCGUAGGCGGUUUGUCGCGUCUGCUGUGAAAGCCCGGGGCUCAACCCCGGGUCUGCAGUGGGUACGGGCAGACUAGAGUGCAGUAGGGGAGACUGGAAUUCCUGGUGUAGCGGUGAAAUGCGCAGUUAUCAGGAGGAACACCGAUGGCGAAGGCAGGUCUCUGGGCCGUAACUGACGCUGAGGAGCGAAAGCAUGGGGAGCGAACAGGAUUAGAUACCCUUGUAGUC